GCCGAUGUAGCUCAGCUGGCUAGAGCAGCUGAUUUGUAAUCAGCAGGCCGUGGGUUCGAGUCCCUCCAUCGGCU
Molecule: transfer RNA, 74 nt
Filed under: Flavobacteriaceae bacterium
Lineage: Bacteria; Pseudomonadati; Bacteroidota; Flavobacteriia; Flavobacteriales; Flavobacteriaceae
Also listed under: 2 other names
Description: tRNA-Thr
Rfam family: tRNA
About the family: Transfer RNA (tRNA) molecules are approximately 80 nucleotides in length.
Source: RNAcentral